RNAcentral lists this ribosomal RNA (1068 nucleotides) under uncultured bacterium. RNAcentral's name for it is "bacterial SSU rRNA". It matches the Rfam family "Bacterial small subunit ribosomal RNA", at positions 338 to 1398 of the family's 1533-position model. The record is from RNAcentral.
CCUACGGGGGGCAGCAGUGGGGAAUAUUGCACAAUGGGCGAAAGCCUGAUGCAGCCAUGCCGCGUGUGUGAAGAAGGCCUUCGGGUUGUAAAGCACUUUCAGUAAGGAGGAAAGGGUAGUCGUUAAUAGCGGCUAUCUGUGACGUUACUUACAGAAGAAGCACCGGCUAACUUCGUGCCAGCAGCCGCGGUAAUACGAGGGGUGCAAGCGUUAAUCGGAAUUACUGGGCGUAAAGCGUUCGUAGGCGGUUGAAUAAGCAAGAUGUGAAAGCCCAGGGCUCAACCUUGGAACUGCAUUUUGAACUGUUCAACUAGAGUACUGUAGAGGGUGGUGGAAUUUCCAGUGUAGCGGUGAAAUGCGUAGAGAUUGGAAGGAACAUCAGUGGCGAAGGCGGCCACCUGGACAGAUACUGACGCUGAGGAACGAAAGCGUGGGGAGCGAACAGGAUUAGAUACCCUGGUAGUCCACGCCGUAAACGAUGUCAACUAGCCGUUUGUGUCCUAGAGACGUGAGUGGCGCAGCUAACGCACUAAGUUGACCGCCUGGGGAGUACGGCCGCAAGGUUAAAACUCAAAUGAAUUGACGGGGGCCCGCACAAGCGGUGGAGCAUGUGGUUUAAUUCGAUGCAACGCGAAGAACCUUACCAUCCCUUGACAUCCAGAGAAUUUUCUAGAGAUAGAUUAGUGCCUUCGGGAACUCUGAGACAGGUGCUGCAUGGCUGUCGUCAGCUCGUGUUGUGAAAUGUUGGGUUAAGUCUCGCAACGAGCGCAACCCCUAUCCUUAUUUGCCAGCGCGUAGUGGCGGGAACUUUAAGGAGACUGCCGGUGAUAAACCGGAGGAAGGUGGGGACGACGUCAAGUCAUCAUGGCCCUUACGGGAUGGGCUACACACGUGCUACAAUGGCGUAUACAGAGUGCAGCGAGACCGCGAGGUGGAGCGAAUCACACAAAGUACGUCGUAGUCCGGAUUGGAGUCUGCAACUCGACUCCAUGAAGUCGGAAUCGCUAGUAAUCGUAGAUCAGAAUGCUACGGUGAAUACGUUCCCGGGCCUUGUACACACCGCCCGUC